UUUCAUUUGUGAAUGCCAACUUAGCCAGUAUGAUAACCUUAGAUCACAUCCUUUCACCCUAAGGACUCAGUUUAUUUCAGACCAGUGUCCUUGCCAAUAACAGACACAAUGAAAAGGAUAAAUGCUUAGUGCUUAAAAUAUUUAUGUCUUCGCAAGUAAUUUUUCUUUGUUCCCGGUUUUGUGUUAAUUCCUGUUGCCUGAGUCCUGAUCAGUUAUAAAGACUGGGGGCUUAACUUCAUGAAUAAGAACCAAACUUAAUGAAAAGUCUCUUUCCUUUAAGGGGAAAUGGGUAUAGAAUGAAUCUUCUGGAUCCAGGAUUUUUAUGACUGAAGUGAGACCUCUCUCACUCACAGGCAUCUGGGUGUCCACCAGGCUUCCCUCACAUCUCUCUCUAAAAAUGUGUAUUUAAUGUGACUAUUCUUCCAGCUCCUAGUGUGCAUUCUAGGUCCCCAAUGGAGCUGGAAUUCUUUUCCAAGUUCCAUAGUCUAGCUGAGACCCUGACACACAGCCUAAUCUUCUCUCCUAAUAAUCUAAAUCCUUUAUCAGCAUUUCUACUUGACUAGUUGAGACCUUACAUGUGUGUCCCUAAGAGACCCUGCAACCUGACUGGCUGUAUUUCCACUGACCAUUAGUAUAUAUUAAUAUCAACCUGGUUUGGAUAAAAAUUUGGAGCUCAUGUAUAAAAACACACAAAAACCAAUUCAUAGGGAAUAAGAAACGUUGUAAAAUAAUUCAUAUUACCUAAUAAAGUCACGAGAUAGUUCUGAAGAGAAGAUCCAAUUUGCUACUGCAGCACAGUCAACAAUCUGCGUACGAAUCAUCUUGUCUACUAGUACAGCAAUCAUCUACAACAAGGGAAGAAUUCUUAGGGUAAAUCGCACUUAUUUGUAGACCAUAAUAAUCUCACUGCUAGAAAAGUAAAAUAGAAUGGUUGUGAGACUUAUUUUGCCUUCUCCUUAGCUCUGUUACUUAUUGCAGGAAUACUAUAACACCAGUAAAAAUUGAGAAAAAAAGAAAAAGAAAAACUCUGGUAACACAAACAUAAAAUUUUUUUUAGAUAAUACCAUUCUCAUCCUUCAAAAAUAUAGGAAUGUUUUAUCAUAAAAAUCUUAAAUAUAUUCUGAAACAUAUUUAAAUGCCUCUGUAUAACUCAUGGCAUAAAAACAAUAUAUUAAUAUUGAAAAA
This is a long non-coding RNA of Pipistrellus kuhlii (Kuhl's pipistrelle), 1185 nucleotides long. RefSeq lists it as uncharacterized. Lineage: Eukaryota; Metazoa; Chordata; Mammalia; Chiroptera; Vespertilionidae. The record is from RefSeq and is a predicted model, not a curated record. The transcript is spliced from 2 exons.